RNAcentral lists this non-coding RNA (28 nucleotides) under Rattus norvegicus (Norway rat). Lineage: Eukaryota; Metazoa; Chordata; Mammalia; Rodentia; Muridae. The record is from RNAcentral.
UCCCCCAUAUAACUCAGUAAAUUUGGUC